Molecule: long non-coding RNA, 627 nt
Organism: Clupea harengus (Atlantic herring)
Lineage: Eukaryota; Metazoa; Chordata; Actinopteri; Clupeiformes; Clupeidae
Exons: 7
Source: RefSeq, a predicted model, not a curated record
UCCCCACAACCAGACAACUUCUGCACAAACUGAAGUUACUGCUGGAGCAAGUGAAGAUGCUGUGGUUUCCACCCCAACACCAAAUCCCCAAAACCAAACUACAUCUGCUGGAGCUACUGAGGCCACGACUGAUGGUGACACUGAAGACCAGCUGUCUGAUUUUUUUUCAGAGGCCCCAUGUGAACAGGGAUGGACCAGUCAUGCAAAUCGCUGCUUUAGGUUUUUCUCCGACCGCCUAUCUUGGUCUAAGGCAGAGGGGUACUGUGUGAAAAACGGAGGGAAUCUUGCAUCCAUCCACAACAUUAAGGAAGCACGUCUUGUGGGGGAGUUGUCGGGGAACCGUAACUUGGCUUGGAUUGGGGGCGGGGGAUCCUCUGAGGGUUUUGUAUGGUACUGGACUGAUGGAAGUGCAUUUGACUAUUCCAAUUGGCAUGCAUGGGAGCCCAAUAACUAUGGUGGAAAUGAACACUGCAUUAGCAUCAACUUCAAAGCUGGUGGCGUUUGGAAUGAUUCUCCCUGCCACAAACGUUUCUCGUUUGUGUGUGCCAAGUAGUAAAGCAUCUCGUGUGGAGUUUACAGACUUUCACUGUCACAUAACUAAUCAAUAAACGCAUCAUUAAAAAGCAA